AUGCUUAUGGGCAAGGCUUUGGUGGCUCAUCAGAUUACAGUUCUGAUGCAAAUCCUGAGGUUUGGCGUUUCGUAAACAGC
Molecule: transfer RNA, 80 nt
Filed under: Aliivibrio fischeri
Lineage: Bacteria; Pseudomonadati; Pseudomonadota; Gammaproteobacteria; Vibrionales; Vibrionaceae
Description: tRNA-Cys
Source: RNAcentral